RNAcentral lists this ribosomal RNA (484 nucleotides) under uncultured bacterium. RNAcentral describes it as "partial 16S ribosomal RNA". It matches the Rfam family "Bacterial small subunit ribosomal RNA", at positions 30 to 507 of the family's 1533-position model. The record is from RNAcentral.
AUUGAACGCUGGCGGCAGGCCUAACACAUGCAAGUCGAGCGGAUGAAGGGAGCUUGCUCCUGGAUUCAGCGGCGGACGGGUGAGUAAUGCCUAGGAAUCUGCCUGGUAGUGGGGGAUAACGUCCGGAAACGGGCGCUAAUACCGCAUCCGUCCUGAGGGAGAAAGUGGGGGAUCUUCGGACCUCACGCUAUCUGAUGAGCCUAGGACGGAUUAGCUAGUUGGUGGGGUAAAGGCCUACCACGGCGACGAUCCGUAGCUGGUCUGAGAGGAUGAUCAGUCACACUGGAACUGAGACACGGUCCAGACUCCUACAGGAGGCAGCAGUGGGGAAUAUUGGACAAUGGGCGAAAGCCUGAUCCAGCCAUGCCGCGUGUGUGAAGAAGGUCUUCGGAUUGUAAAGCACUUUAAGUUGGGAGGAAGGGCAGUAAGUUAAUACCUUGCUGUUUUGACGUUACCAACAGAAUAAGCACCGGCUAACUUCGUG